This 497-nucleotide ribosomal RNA is filed under the name uncultured bacterium. Its description in RNAcentral is "partial 16S ribosomal RNA". It matches the Rfam family "Bacterial small subunit ribosomal RNA", at positions 28 to 507 of the family's 1533-position model. The record is from RNAcentral.
GAUGAACGCUGGCGGCGUGCCUAAUACAUGCAAGUCGAGCGAACAGAUGAGGAGCUUGCUCCUCUGACGUUAGCGGCGGACGGGUGAGUAACACGUGGAUAACCUACCUAUAAGACUGGGAUAACUACGGGAAACCGGAGCUAAUACCGGAUAAUAUAUUGAACCGCAUGGUUCAAUAGUGAAAGACGGUUUUGCUGUCACUUAUAGAUGGAUCCGCGCCGCAUUAGCUAGUUGGUAAGGUAACGGCUUACCAAGGCAACGAUGCGUAGCCGACCUGAGAGGGUGAUCGGCCACACUGGAACUGAGACACGGUCCAGACUCCUACGGGAGGCAGCAGUAGGGAAUCUUCCGCAAUGGGCGAAAGCCUGACGGAGCAACGCCGCGUGAGUGAUGAAGGUCUUCGGAUCGUAAAACUCUGUUAUUAGGGAAGAACAAAUGUGUAAGUAACAAUGCACGUCUUGACGGUACCUAAUCAGAAAGCCACGGCUAACUACGUG